UCUUCUGUAAUGAUUCCAUGGCUGUGUGGCAUGGGCUCCAUGGGUAUAUCCACCUGCAUGGAUAUAUCGGCACAUACAUGGUAUGGACUGCGUGAUCUCAACAUAAAGGCGUUCCAAAAGUACCCUCUAGAGUUAGACGUUGACUGAAGAAUACGAAGACAGUUGCCUGAGUUGGGCUUUAGUGUGACAACCGAAAGUCGUCGGGCGCUUGCGCCCUCUGUGACGACCCGAAGGUAGAGUCGAGAACUUUAGAAGAACAUCAGAGAGUUACCGAUUCCAACAUGAUGCUGACUGCAUUCACCUUCCGAGUAACACAGUCUUCGCAAUGUAACUUUCCAAAAAGAAAGCCCGAGUAAGUGUAAUACAUCACGGAUGCGCUAAUUUGAUGAAGAUGAAAUGAAUGCUCCGUACAUGAACAGUAUUUGACACAGUGUCCUGAUUUGAGGACCUAAAGAGAACGGCGCGGCACUGUUAUUAGAUGACUCGUUAACUGAAGACUAUAUCUUUAGUCAGCGGCUGACCAUCAAAGGGCCUGGCCGAUUGAGUCUGGAAUCGACAGGAGAGAUAGAAUGCGUAUUUCUUGUAAAUCUAGCCGAAUUCUUCAGUCCGGAAACAACCGCGCGGUAGAGCGGACGUAUGAAAAUCGCGCUCCGCAGAUUUUGUGUGCCGGGUUCUCUACCUCCUGGAUCCUGCGCUCCGGGUCCGUUUCCUGGUGCAACUCGACUUCCAGGACAAGCGCCCCGUAGUUUC
Neodiprion fabricii is the source of this 750-nucleotide long non-coding RNA. RefSeq lists it as uncharacterized. The transcript is spliced from 4 exons. Lineage: Eukaryota; Metazoa; Arthropoda; Insecta; Hymenoptera; Diprionidae. The record is from RefSeq and is a predicted model, not a curated record.